This 432-nucleotide ribosomal RNA is filed under the name uncultured Rhodospirillaceae bacterium. RNAcentral describes it as "bacterial SSU rRNA". It matches the Rfam family "Bacterial small subunit ribosomal RNA", at positions 342 to 791 of the family's 1533-position model. Lineage: Bacteria; Pseudomonadati; Pseudomonadota; Alphaproteobacteria; Rhodospirillales; Rhodospirillaceae. The record is from RNAcentral.
CGGGGGGCAGCAGUGGGGAAUAUUGGACAAUGGGCGAAAGCCUGAUCCAGCCAUGCCGCGUGAGUGAAGAAGGCCUUCGGGUUGUAAAGCUCUUUCGACGGGGACGAUGAUGACGGUACCCGUAUAAGAAGCCCCGGCAAACUUCGUGCCAGCAGCCGCGGUAAUACGAAGGGGGCUAGCGUUGUUCGGAAUUACUGGGCGUAAAGCGAACGUAGGCGGUGUUCCAUGUCAGAGGUGAAAGCCUGGGGCUCAACUCCAGAAUUGCCUUUGAAACGGGGACGCUUGAGUCCGAGAGAGGAUGGCGGAAUUCCUAGUGUAGAGGUGAAAUUCGUAGAUAUUAGGAAGAACACCAGUGGCGAAGGCGGCCAUCUGGCUCGGUACUGACGCUCAGGUUCGAAAGCGUGGGGAGCAAACAGGAUUAGAUACCCGCGU